GCAGUCGACGGCGCACGGGAGCUUGCUCCUGGUGGCGGGUGGCGAACGGGUGAGUAACGCGUCGGAACGUACCGAGUAAUGGGGGAUAACGCACCGAAAGGUGUGCUAAUACCGCAUACGCCCUGAGGGGGAAAGUGGGGGAUUCGCAAGAACCUCACGUUAUUCGAGCGGCCGACGUCUGAUUGGCUUGUUGGUGGGGUAAUGGCCUACCAAGGCGACGAUCAGUAGCGGGUCUGAGAGGAUGAUCCGCCACACUGGAACUGAGACACGGUCCAGACUCCUACGGGAGGCAGCAGUGGGGAAUUUUGGACAAUGGGGGCAACCCUGAUCCAGCCAUUCCGCGUGAGUGAAGAAGGCCUUCGGGUUGUAAAGCUCUUUCAGCCGGAACGAAACGGUAUGUCUUAAUACGAUGUGCUAAUGACGGUACCGGCAGAAGAAGCACCGGCUAACUCCGUGCCAGCAGCCGCGGUAAUACGGAGGAUCCAAGCGUUAUCCGGAUUUAUUGGGCUUAAAGGGUGCGUAGGCGGCUUAUUAAGUCAGGGGUGAAAGACGGUGGCUCAACCAUCGCAGUGCCUUUGAUACUGAUGAGCUUGAAUACACUAGAGGUAGGCGGAAUGUGACAAGUAGCGGUGAAAUGCAUAGAUAUGUCACAGAACACCAAUUGCGAAGGCAGCUUACUAAGGUGUUAAUGACGCUGAGGCACGAAAGCGUGGGGAUCAAACAGGAUUAGAUACCCUGGUAGA
This 743-nucleotide ribosomal RNA is filed under the name uncultured bacterium. RNAcentral describes it as "bacterial SSU rRNA". It matches the Rfam family "Bacterial small subunit ribosomal RNA", at positions 57 to 794 of the family's 1533-position model. The record is from RNAcentral.